GACGAACGCUGGCGGCGUGCCUAACACAUGCAAGUCGAGCGAAAGGACGAGAAGCUUGCUUCUGUGAGGGUAGGGGAGGAGGGGGGAGUAACACGUGGAUAACCUACCUAUAUUACUGGUAAAUGCUCGGGAAACCGGAUCAAAUAACGGAUAAUAUUUUAAAGCGUGUGGUUCAGAAGGGAAAGACGGUCUUGGUGUCUCUGAUAGAUGCAUACCCGCUGCAUUAGCUAGUGGGUAAGGUAGCGGCUUACCAAGGAAACUAUGCAUAGCAGACCUGAGAGCGUGGUCGGCCACCUUGGAAGUGAGGCACGGUCCCGACUCCUACGCGAAGCCGCAGUAGGGAAUCUUACGCAAUGGGGGAGAGGCUGACGGAGCAACGCCGCGUGAGUGAUGAAGGUCUUCGGAUCGGAAAGCUCUGUUAUUCGUGAAGAACAUAUGUGUAAGUAACUGUGCAGAUCUUGACGGUACCUAGUCAAAAAGCCCCGGCUAACUACGUG
RNAcentral lists this ribosomal RNA (497 nucleotides) under uncultured bacterium. RNAcentral's name for it is "partial 16S ribosomal RNA". It matches the Rfam family "Bacterial small subunit ribosomal RNA", at positions 28 to 507 of the family's 1533-position model. The record is from RNAcentral.